GUUUCUGGGUUUGUAAUGUAUUGUAAUACAUCAUCUGCAUAUAAAGAAAUUUUAUUAACUGUAUCUUUAGUAUUAUACCCAUAAAUUUCUGGGUGCGCUCUAACAUUUUCUGCAAGUGGUUCGAUAGCUAGGGCGAAUAAUAAUGGAAAUAAUGGGCAUCCUUGUCUACAACCUCUAGACAGAUUGAAUUUGGGUGAUAACAUUUGAUUUGUCAAUAUUCUAGCUGUUGGGUUAGUAUAUAGGAGUUUAACCCAUGUACAAAACUUCUCACCCAGCUGAAAAGUUUCCAGCACUGA
Long non-coding RNA from Amblyraja radiata (thorny skate), 296 nucleotides. RefSeq lists it as uncharacterized. The record is from RefSeq and is a predicted model, not a curated record. The transcript has 3 exons. NCBI's taxonomy places the organism in Eukaryota, Metazoa, Chordata, Chondrichthyes, Rajiformes, Rajidae.